RNAcentral lists this ribosomal RNA (301 nucleotides) under uncultured bacterium. RNAcentral describes it as "partial 16S ribosomal RNA". It matches the Rfam family "Bacterial small subunit ribosomal RNA", at positions 508 to 808 of the family's 1533-position model. The record is from RNAcentral.
GCAGCCGCCGCGGGAAUACGUAGGUGGCAAGCGUUGUCCGGAAUUAUUGGGCGUAAAGGGCUCGCAGGCGGUUUCUUAAGUCUGAUGUGAAAGCCCCCGGCUCAACCGGGGAGGGUCAUUGGAAACUGGGAAACUUGAGUGCAGAAGAGGAGAGUGGAAUUCCACGUGUAGCGGUGAAAUGCGUAGAGAUGUGGAGGAACACCAGUGGCGAAGGCGACUCUCUGGUCUGUAACUGACGCUGAGGAGCGAAAGCGUGGGGAGCGAACAGGAUUAGAUACCCCUGUAGUCCCUGUCUCUUAUA